This 404-nucleotide ribosomal RNA is filed under the name Actinomycetes bacterium. RNAcentral's name for it is "Actinobacteria bacterium partial 16S ribosomal RNA". It matches the Rfam family "Bacterial small subunit ribosomal RNA", at positions 355 to 776 of the family's 1533-position model. Lineage: Bacteria; Bacillati; Actinomycetota; Actinomycetes. The record is from RNAcentral.
UGGGGAAUAUUGGACAAUGGGCGCAAGCCUGAUCCAGCCAUGCCGCGUGAGUGAUGAAGGCCCUAGGGUUGUAAAGCUCUUUCACCGGUGAAGAUAAUGACGGUAACCGGAGAAGAAGCCCCGGCUAACUUCGUGCCAGCAGCCGCGGUAAUACGAAGGGGGCUAGCGUUGUUCGGAUUUACUGGGCGUAAAGCGCACGUAGGCGGACUUUUAAGUCAGGGGUGAAAUCCCGGGGCUCAACCCCGGAACUGCCUUUGAUACUGGAAGUGUUGAGUAUGGUAGAGGUGAGUGGAAUUCCGAGUGUAGAGGUGAAAUACGUAGAUAUUCGGAGGAACACCAGUGGCGAAGGCGGCUCACUGGACCAUUACUGACGCUGAGGUGCGAAAGCGUGGGGAGCAAACAGG